This is a long non-coding RNA of Acanthopagrus latus (yellowfin seabream), 601 nucleotides long. RefSeq lists it as uncharacterized. Lineage: Eukaryota; Metazoa; Chordata; Actinopteri; Spariformes; Sparidae. The transcript is spliced from 2 exons. The record is from RefSeq and is a predicted model, not a curated record.
CGGCGCCUCCGUGUGGUGCGAGGGGGAACCACAGCCUAAUAACAAACCAAAAUGUGCCUUGAGUGUAUUUCUGCAACAUGAAGAAGGAGGAGAAGAAGCAUUUAUGCCCCCCUGUUAAACCCCCGACUGACUGGAAGAGUGUGUGUUUCCAGGAAGAGUCGGAGGCGUGCGUCACUGUUUGACCCGCGGGCAGAGCAAAGAAAAGCCAAACCGUCCUGCAGAGUGACUGAUGGGCGCUGGACAGUUUACUAAGUCAACCCAUGAACCUGUGAGAGGAAUCCUUCAUUCAUCUGGAUAGAAAGAUGGAUCAGUACCAGCCUCCUUCUUCACCACAACGCCUCCCAGCCCAUUAUACUUUAACACUGAGCACUGAGCACACCCUCUGAUCCGGAGAAACCUCGCUGGAUGUAACAGACAUAUGUGUCCUCGGAGAAAUUCUGUGAGAGGAGAGAAGUGCUACAGGAGCAAGAAAGUGCAGGAAGUAAUGCCAAAAUAUUGUUAAAUGUUUGAUCAGACUCCAGCAUAAAGCUCGGUGGUCUCUGUGUUAUUCAUGACUAUGCAGAAACCUCAUUUGAAAAUAAAAUACUGCUUCUCUCUGCGA